GCUGUAUGGUGAAGGCAAGGCACAAGGUCUGUCCGUGGGUGAACAUGGGGCUGAUGAAUCCAUGGCCAGGAAGUCAAUUUCUACUUGGAUAGGUGAAUUUCAUGGCAAGAGAAAAACAGCGGUCCUGGAAUAACAGGAGUGAGGACCUAGAAUUUUAAUGUCUAAUAUGCGGUGUGAAUUAAAGAAGCGGCCUUGCUAUGCUGACCUUUUCAAUAUUCUAAUCUUUGCUUUGCUGACCUCUCAGGCCUCUUCCUGGCAACAGUUAGGCUUUUGAGAGGAGAGAGAGCUGAGACUGUUGGCUCCUUCCCAUUUAUGAGAGAGCCACAUGACAUCAGCCCAUAGACUGUGGAGAGUAUUCCAGAUCUAUCACAUUCUGCGAUUCUGCGAUUCCCAGAAGGCUGGUCAUGAAAAAAUUCCCUCUUCAGUUUACAUAUAUGGCAGUGGUGUCAUAAACUUUCUAAGACAGUGCCUUGCCUGAAGACUAUGAGUUUCUGUGCAUCCUAGGACCUUUAUGGAAAUUAGAUAAUUUUUGAUGAAGUUAAACAAUUAUAUUAUAAGAAACUCCUCAAAUCAAGAAUAAAUAAAAACAAGAGUAGCAUUAAAAUUUACUGCAGAGUACAUUAAUACAGUUCAAAUCUAAAUGUCUGCUCUUGCAUUUCUGUGACUUUUCAUGCCAUGCUGAAAAUCUGGAAUGGAAACUCUCAUCCAUCUUGGUGAUUUCCUAGUGCCCUGAGGAUGACUUCAUUUAAAAGCAUUUGAAGAUUUAAGUUCUUUCUGAGAUGUGCUCUUGUUUUCAGGAAUAAAAGUG
RNAcentral lists this long non-coding RNA (808 nucleotides) under Homo sapiens (human). Its description in RNAcentral is "HSALNT0250506". The record is from RNAcentral. Lineage: Eukaryota; Metazoa; Chordata; Mammalia; Primates; Hominidae.